AACUUUCGACAACGGAUCACUUGGUUCUCGCAUCGAUGAAGAACGCAGCGAAAUGCGAUAAGUAGUGUGAAUUGCAGAAUUCAGUGAAUCAUCGAUUCUUUGAACGCACAUUGCGCCUUUCGGCAUUCCGGAGGGCAUGCCUGUUCGAGAGUCAUUAACAACCAGUUCAAUCCCUCUUUGAAAAUAUUUGGGGGAUUGGUUAUUGGUGAAUGAGGGGAUGCGUGCAUCACGUUGAAUCACCUCACCACCGAAAUUCAGAGGCGGUUUGUCCCCACGUGUUUGUGGCGUUGUAAAGGAUUACCAGCACUAUUCGCUCGCAUCGUGGGUGCACUGCUUGCCAUUGGAGAAAUCCCCAUUCAUCAAAGGUUGACCUCGGAUCAGGUAGGGAUACCCGCUGAACUUAAGCAUAUCAAUAAGCGGAGGCU
This 425-nucleotide unclassified non-coding RNA is filed under the name uncultured Humaria. RNAcentral's name for it is "sequence contains ITS2". The stretch from base 1 to 154 matches the Rfam family "5.8S ribosomal RNA". The record is from RNAcentral. Lineage: Eukaryota; Fungi; Ascomycota; Pezizomycetes; Pezizales; Pyronemataceae.